GGAAAGACAUCUGAAUGCUCUCAAUACCAGCAGAUGCUGCAUACAAACUUGGUUUACCUAGCCACUAUAGCUGACUCCAACCAGAACAUGCAGUCUCUACUACCAGCACCACCCACACAGAAUAUGCCUAUGGGUCCGGGAGGGAUGAGUCAGAGCGGCCCUCCCCCACCUCCGCGCUCGCACAACAUGUCUUCAGAUGGUAUGGUAGGUGGGGGCCCGCCU
Molecule: long non-coding RNA, 222 nt
Organism: Phaethon lepturus (White-tailed tropicbird)
Lineage: Eukaryota; Metazoa; Chordata; Aves; Phaethontiformes; Phaethontidae
Exons: 3
Source: RefSeq, a predicted model, not a curated record